Molecule: ribosomal RNA, 1346 nt
Filed under: uncultured bacterium
Lineage: Bacteria
Description: bacterial SSU rRNA
Rfam family: Bacterial small subunit ribosomal RNA
Source: RNAcentral
GACGAACGCUGGCGGCGUGCUUAACACAUGCAAGUCGAACGGAAAGGCCCUGCUUUUGUGGGGUGCUCGAGUGGCGAACGGGUGAGUAGCACGUGAGUAACCUGCCCUUGACUUUGGGAUAACUUCAGGAAACUGGGGCUAAUACCGGAUAGGAGCUCCUGCUGCAUGGUGGGGGUUGGAAAGUUUCGGCGGUUGGGGAUGGACUCGCGGCUUAUCAGCUUGUUGGUGGGGUAGUGGCUUACCAAGGCUUUGACGGGUAGCCGGCCUGAGAGGGUGACCGGCCACAUUGGGACUGAGAUACGGCCCAGACUCCUACGGGAGGCAGCAGUGGGGAAUAUUGCACAAUGGGCGGAAGCCUGAUGCAGCGACGCCGCGUGCGGGAUGACGGCCUUCGGGUUGUAAACCGCUUUCGCCUGUGACGAAGCGUGAGUGACGGUAAUGGGUAAAGAAGCACCGGCUAACUACGUGCCAGCAGCCGCGGUGAUACGUAGGGUGCGAGCGUUGUCCGGAUUUAUUGGGCGUAAAGGGCUCGUAGGUGGUUGAUCGCGUCGGAAGUGUAAUCUUGGGGCUUAACCCUGAGCGUGCUUUCGAUACGGGUUGACUUGAGGAAGGUAGGGGAGAAUGGAAUUCCUGGUGGAGCGGUGGAAUGCGCAGAUAUCAGGAGGAACACCAGUGGCGAAGGCGGUUCUCUGGGCCUUUCCUGACGCUGAGGAGCGAAAGCGUGGGGAGCGAACAGGCUUAGAUACCCUGGUAGUCCACGCUGUAAACGGAGGGUACUAGGUGUGGGGUCCAUUCCACGGGUUCCGUGCCGUGGCUAACGCUUUAAGUACCCCGCCUGGGGAGUACGGCCGCAAGGCUAAAACUCAAAGGAAUUGACGGGGCCCCGCACAAGCGGCGGAGCAUGCGGAUUAAUUCGAUGCAACGCGUAGAACCUUACCUGGGUUUGACAUGGAUCGGGAGCGCUCAGAGAUGGGUGUGCCUCUUUUGGGGUCGGUUCACAGGUGGUGCAUGGCUGUCGUCAGCUCGUGUCGCGAGAUGUUGGGUUAAGUCCCGCAACGAGCGCAACCCUUGUUCACUGUUGCCAGCACGUUAUGGUGGGGACUCAGUGGAGACCGCCGGGGUCAACUCGGAGGAAGGUGGGGAUGACGUCAAGUCAUCAUGCCCCUUAUGUCCAGGGCUUCACGCAUGCUACAAUGGCUGGUACAGAGAGUGGCGAGCCUGUGAGGGUGAGCGAAUCUCGGAAAGCCGGUCUCAGUUCGGAUUGGGGUCUGCAACUCGACCUCAUGAAGUCGGAGUCGCUAGUAAUCGCAGAUCAGCAACGCUGCGGUGAAUACGUUCCCGGGGCU